Long non-coding RNA from Artibeus jamaicensis (Jamaican fruit-eating bat), 1081 nucleotides. RefSeq lists it as uncharacterized. The record is from RefSeq and is a predicted model, not a curated record. NCBI's taxonomy places the organism in Eukaryota, Metazoa, Chordata, Mammalia, Chiroptera, Phyllostomidae. The transcript has 3 exons.
GGAAAGACCAUGUGAGGACACAGAGAGAAGGUGGCCAUGUGUAAGCAAACCAAGGAGAGGCCUCGGAAGAGACCAGACCAAUGCACACCCUGGUGUUGGACUUCCAGCCUCCAGAACUGAUGAUUUCACUGGAUAAUGUUCUCCAGGUCCAUCUAUGCUGUUGCAAAAGGAGCUCAGUGAAAAGGCCAUGUAAUGAAUGACUGCAGCGAGGAGGUACUCACCAGCAAGCUAGGAGAGUCCUCACCAGAAGCCAAACCCUGCCAGGCCUUGAUCUGGAACUUCUAGCCUCCAGAACUCUGAGAAACAAAUUUCUGCUGUUUAAGACACUCAGCCUAUGUUCUUCAUUAUGGCAGUAUAAGCAGACAAAUGCACUUAUUUUCUAAGUCCUGGAUCUGGGGGUAGUCAUAAAUUAAUGAGGUAUAUGCAGCAAUUUUAUAUGAAGGUGGAAUAUUAUUUUACAAUGUUAAAUAAGUAAUUCUCAUACUUUUAAUAUGUAUAAUAUAUAACCAUAUAUCUAGAUGAAAUGCGAAGCAUGACAUAGAGUCUUUUCCCCCAAUUUUAUUAAGGUAUAAUUGACAAACUUUAUAUAUUUAGUAUAUGAUGUGAUUAUCUGGUUUAUGAAUACAUUAUAAAAUGAUUACCGCACCAAGUUAAUUAACGCAUUCAUCAUCUCACAUAAUUUAUUUAUGUAUUUAUUUACUUAUCUAUGAGAAUGCUUAAGAUUUACUCUAAAAAUUAUGUAUAUAAUACAGUGUUACUAAGUAUAGUUUUCAUGCUGUCCAUCGGUCCUCAGAACUUACUCAUUUUAUAUGUGAAAGACCAAUGUCUGCCCAUUUUUCUCAGCCCUCAGCCCCUGGCAAUCUCCUAUUCUCUUCUCUGCUUUUAAGAGUUUGACUUUUUCUUUUCUGACCCUGUAUAUAAGGAAUAUCAACCAGAAUUUGUUUUUUCCCACUGCAUUGAUUCUUUGCAUUGCCAGCUGCAUGAACACUGAACAUUUUGACUCUGAAUGGUUUCAUUUUUAUAAAAAUAUUUAGUAUGAUACUAUUACAUUUUCAAAAAUUAAAUUAAAAUUGUAAUUUUA